This 83-nucleotide transfer RNA is filed under the name Candidatus Aenigmatarchaeota archaeon. Its description in RNAcentral is "tRNA-Ser". It matches the Rfam family "tRNA". From Rfam's summary of the family: Transfer RNA (tRNA) molecules are approximately 80 nucleotides in length. The record is from RNAcentral. Lineage: Archaea; Nanobdellati; Candidatus Aenigmatarchaeota.
GCCGACGUCGCAUAACCUGGCAUUGCGCUGGUCUCGAAAACCAGUGUCCUUCGGACGUGCAGGUUCAAAUCCUGCCGUCGGCG